GGCGUAACGAUUUGGGCACUGUCUCAACGAGAGACUCGGUGAAAUCAUAGUACCUGUGAAGAUGCAGGUUACCCGCGACAGGACGGAAAGACCCCGUGGAGCUUUACUGUAGCCUGAUAUUGAAAUUCGGCACAGCUUGUACAGGAUAGGUAGGAGCCUUUGAAACGUGAGCGCUAGCUUACGUGGAGGCGCUGGUGGGAUACUACCCUAGCUGUGUUGGCUUUCUAACCCGCACCACUUAUCGUGGUGGGAGACAGUGUCAGGCGGGCAGUUUGACUGGGGCGGUCGCCUCCUAAAAGGUAACGGAGGCGCUCAAAGGUUCCCUCAGAAUGGUUGGAAAUCAUUCAUAGAGUGUAAAGGCAUAAGGGAGCUUGACUGCGAGACCUACAAGUCGAGCAGGGUCGAAAGACGGACUUAGUGAUCCGGUGGUUCCGCAUGGAAGGGCCAUCGCUCAACGGAUAAAAGCUACCCCGGGGAUAACAGGCUUAUCUCCCCCAAGAGUUCACAUCGACGGGGAGGUUUGGCACCUCGAUGUCGGCUCAUCGCAUCCUGGGGCUGUAGUCGGUCCCAAGGGUUGGGCUGUUCGCCCAUUAAAGCGGUACGCGAGCUGGGUUCAGAACGUCGUGAGACAGUUCGGUCCCUAUCCGUCGUGGGCGUAGGAAAUUUGAGAGGAGCUGUCCUUAGUACGAGAGGACCGGGAUGGACAUACCUCUGGUGUACCAGUUGUCGUGCCAACGGCAUAGCUGGGUAGCUAUGUGUGGACGGGAUAAGUGCUGAAAGCAUCUAAGCAUGAAGCCCCCCUCAAGAUGAGAUUUCCCAACUUCGGUUAUAAGAUCCCUCAAAGAUGAUGAGGUUAAUAGGUUCGAGGUGGAAGCAUGGUGACAUGUGGAGCUGACGAAUACUAA
RNAcentral lists this ribosomal RNA (905 nucleotides) under Staphylococcus aureus. RNAcentral describes it as "partial 23S ribosomal RNA". It matches the Rfam family "Bacterial large subunit ribosomal RNA", at positions 1998 to 2904 of the family's 2925-position model. The record is from RNAcentral. Lineage: Bacteria; Bacillati; Bacillota; Bacilli; Caryophanales; Staphylococcaceae.